UUGCUAAGGAACUGAACACUGGUGUGGUUUAAAAUACAGCCUUGUAAAGGGCGUCUGCAUUAAGUUCAGCAUCAAUAUAGUGAACUUCUGGGAGAGGGGGACCACCAGGUUGCCCUAGGAGAGGUGAAUCUGCCCAGAUUGGAAAUGGAGCAGAUCAAAACGUUCAUGCUGAUCAGUAGUGAGAUUGUUCCUGUGAAUAGCCACUGCACUCCAGCCUAGGCAACA
Molecule: signal recognition particle RNA, 225 nt
Filed under: Nomascus leucogenys (northern white-cheeked gibbon)
Lineage: Eukaryota; Metazoa; Chordata; Mammalia; Primates; Hylobatidae
Description: Metazoan signal recognition particle RNA
Rfam family: Metazoan signal recognition particle RNA
About the family: The signal recognition particle (SRP) is a universally conserved ribonucleoprotein. It is involved in the co-translational targeting of proteins to membranes.
Source: Rfam by way of RNAcentral